This 426-nucleotide ribosomal RNA is filed under the name uncultured Pseudomonadota bacterium. Its description in RNAcentral is "bacterial SSU rRNA". It matches the Rfam family "Bacterial small subunit ribosomal RNA", at positions 356 to 774 of the family's 1533-position model. The record is from RNAcentral. Lineage: Bacteria; Pseudomonadati; Pseudomonadota.
GGGGAAUUUUGGACAAUGGGGGCAACCCUGAUCCAGCCAUGCCGCGUGAGUGAAGAAGGCCUUCGGGUUGUAAAGCUCUUUCGGACGGAAAGAAAACGGAUGGGUUAAUACCCUGUUCGGAUGACGGUACCGUCAUAAGAAGCACCGGCUAACUCUGUGCCAGCAGCCGCGGUAAUACAGAGGGUGCGAGCGUUAAUCGGAUUUACUGGGCGUAAAGCGUGCGUAGGCGGCUUUUUAAGUCGGAUGUGAAAUCCCCGAGCUUAACUUGGGAAUUGCAUUCGAUACUGGGAAGCUAGAGUAUGGGAGAGGAUGGUAGAAUUCCAGGUGUAGCGGUGAAAUGCGUAGAGAUCUGGAGGAAUACCGAUGGCGAAGGCAGCCAUCUGGCCUAAUACUGACGCUGAGGUACGAAAGCAUGGGGAGCAAACA